RNAcentral lists this ribosomal RNA (448 nucleotides) under uncultured bacterium. RNAcentral's name for it is "partial 16S ribosomal RNA". It matches the Rfam family "Bacterial small subunit ribosomal RNA", at positions 29 to 523 of the family's 1533-position model. The record is from RNAcentral.
AAUGAACGCUGGCGGCAGGCCUAACACAUGCAAGUCGAACGGAUCCUUCGGGAUUAGUGGCGGACGGGUGAGUAACGCGUGGGAACAUACCCAAAGGUACGGAAUAGCCUCGGGAAACUGGGAGUAAUACCGUAUGUGCUAGAAAGAGGAAAGAUUUAUCGCCUUUGGAUUGGCCCGCGUUGGAUCAGGUAGUUGGUGGGGUAAGGGCCUACCAAGCCGACGAUCCAUAGCUGGGUUGGAAGGAUGAUCAGCCACACUGGGACUGAGACACGGCCCAGACUCCUACGGGAGGCAGCAGUGGGGAAUCUUAGACAAUGGGGGAAACCCUGAUCUAGCCAUGCCGCGUGAUCGAUGAAGGCCUUAGGGUUGUAAAGAUCUUUCAGGUGGGAAGAUAAUGACUGUACCACCAGAAGAAGCCCCGGCUAACUCCGUGCAGCCGCCGCCGUAA